CCCGGUGAUAAUGGCGGAGGGGAAACACCCGAUCCCAUUCCGAACUCGGAAGUUAAGCCCUCCAGCGCCGAUGGUACUGCUGGGGCAACCUGGCGGGAGAGUAGGUCAUCGCCGGGA
RNAcentral lists this ribosomal RNA (117 nucleotides) under bacterium. The record is from RNAcentral. RNAcentral also lists the same sequence under 1 other name.